RNAcentral lists this ribosomal RNA (484 nucleotides) under uncultured bacterium. RNAcentral's name for it is "partial 16S ribosomal RNA". It matches the Rfam family "Bacterial small subunit ribosomal RNA", at positions 30 to 507 of the family's 1533-position model. The record is from RNAcentral.
AUUGAACGCUGGCGGCAGGCCUAACACAUGCAAGUCGAGCGGAUGAAGGGAGCUUGCUCCUGGAUUCAGCGGCGGACGGGUGAGUAAUGCCUAGGAAUCUGCCUGGUAGUGGGGGAUAACGUCCGGAAACGGGCGCUAAUACCGCAUACGUCCUGAGGGAGAAAGUGGGGGAUCUUCGGACCUCACGCUAUCAGAUGAGCCUAGGUCGGAUUAGCUAGUUGGUGGGGUAAGGGCCUACCAAGGCGACGAUCCGUAACUGGUCUGAGAGGAUGAUCAGUCACACUGGAACUGAGACACGGUCCAGACUCCUACGGGAGGCAGCAGUGGGGAAUAUUGGACAAUGGGCGAAAGCCUGAUCCAGCCAUGCCGCGUGUGUGAAGAAGGUCUUCGGAUUGUAAAGCACUUUAAGUUGGGAGGAAGGGCAGUAAGUUAAUACCUUGCUGUUUUGACGUUACCAAAAGAAUAAGCACCGGCUAACUUCGUG